Molecule: long non-coding RNA, 238 nt
Organism: Hordeum vulgare subsp. vulgare (domesticated barley)
Lineage: Eukaryota; Viridiplantae; Streptophyta; Magnoliopsida; Poales; Poaceae
Exons: 2
Source: RefSeq, a predicted model, not a curated record
CUCUGACAUGUUCAUCCGCCCGCUUUGGGACUCCAUCGUCAAGCACACCAACCUGAAGAUCUCCCGGUGCAUCUCUAGAACAACAAAAGAUGCAAAAGGCUGGGAGGGCUGAAGAGACCAAGAGACCAAGAGAGCUCCAUUUGAUUAGUACCACAAAAAUAAUUGGGCCCAUUGGAAUAUGUUUGGAUUUUUCCAUGGAAUUUAAGAGCACUUUUAAAUGCAAAAAUGACUCUGUUUU